RNAcentral lists this ribosomal RNA (474 nucleotides) under Peptostreptococcaceae bacterium canine oral taxon 005. RNAcentral's name for it is "bacterial SSU rRNA". It matches the Rfam family "Bacterial small subunit ribosomal RNA", at positions 9 to 465 of the family's 1533-position model. Lineage: Bacteria; Bacillati; Bacillota; Clostridia; Peptostreptococcales; Peptostreptococcaceae. The record is from RNAcentral.
GAGUUUGAUUCUGGCUCAGGAUGAACGCUGGCGGCGUGCUUAACACAUGCAAGUCGAACGGAACGUAACCGAGGAAAUUUUUCGAAGUGGAAUCGGUUACGUUUAGUGGCGGACGGGUGCGUAACACGUGGGCAACCUGCCCUGCUUUUCGGAAUAACGCCGGGAAACCGUCGCUAAUGCCGAAUGAUAUGAGAAGAAGGCAUCUUCUUUUCAUCAAAGAAUUUCGAAGCAGGAUGGGCCCGCGCCGGAUUAGCUGGUUGGUGAGGUAACGGCUCACCAAGGCGACGAUCCGUAGCCGACCUGAGAGGGUGAUCGGCCACACUGGAACUGAGACACGGUCCAGACUCCUACGGGAGGCAGCAGUGGGGAAUAUUGCACAAUGGGCGAAAGCCUGAUGCAGCAACGCCGCGUGAGCGAUGAAGGCUUUCGAGUCGUAAAGCUCUGUCGCAGGGAAGAAAAAGACGUACCCUGGAG